CAGCAGCCGCGGUAAUACGAAGGGUGCAAGCGUUAAUCGGAAUUACUGGGCGUAAAGCGUGCGUAGGCGGUUUGUUAAGUCUGCUGUGAAAUCCCCGGGCUCAACCUGGGAAUGGCAGUGGAUACUGGCAAGCUAGAGUGUGUCAGAGGAUGGUGGAAUUCCCGGUGUAGCGGUGAAAUGCGUAGAGAUCGGGAGGAACAUCAGUGGCGAAGGCGGCCAUCUGGGACAACACUGACGCUGAGGCACGAAAGCGUGGGGAGCAAACAGGAUUAGAUACCCGCGUAGUCCCUGUCUCUUAUAC
RNAcentral lists this ribosomal RNA (301 nucleotides) under uncultured bacterium. Its description in RNAcentral is "partial 16S ribosomal RNA". It matches the Rfam family "Bacterial small subunit ribosomal RNA", at positions 509 to 807 of the family's 1533-position model. The record is from RNAcentral.